This 2436-nucleotide long non-coding RNA is filed under the name Lynx pardinus (Iberian lynx). Lineage: Eukaryota; Metazoa; Chordata; Mammalia; Carnivora; Felidae. The record is from RNAcentral.
GGCGGGUGCUGGCUGAGUUCUUACAGGUGCUCUUUCAAGGGAGGCACUAUCGGUUGUCAGAUAAAUACGCCUGACCUUUUCACAAUUGAAAAAAAGUACAUUUUCUGUCAGAUCCCGGUGGAAAUGCGAACGGCACGGGGCACCGCUAAGAGCCCGCCUCCGUUUCAGAGCCUGCCGUCCCUGCUUCCCAGGCAGGCAGUGAGGCAAGCUGGGCCCGAUCCGGCCACCUGCAGACGCUGAGGCCACCCCACGUGGGCUGUCAUCCCUUUCCUGGUUCCGCUGCGGGGCCCGCCCUGCCCCCCAUGGUCCAUUCACAGGGACGGAUCACAGAGGAGGCCCUGAGAAGGGUUUGACAUGGAUUGUUGCCUCUCUUCCCGCUCAGAAAUAGCGGUGGGUGGAGUGGGGGAGGGGGUAGUGACCUCGCAGCCUCGACGACCACCUGUCCUGACCCACAUCCAGCUCUCUUUCCCGGGAGCGGUGUGGGGUGAAAAGACCGAGCUCCUCGCCAGGAAGCCUGGGCCACAGCCUGGGUUCCGCCCCUAAUCGGCUCUUAGCAAACCCACCCCCCUUCCAAAUAGUCCUGGCGACUCCCCUCCAUCUCGCUUCACAGGCUUUUGUGGGAUGAGGAGUGUGGGACCUUUUCUAAGUUUGUGAAACACUAUAUGAACGUAAGGGAUUCUUGCCUUUAGGGCAUGGAGGGUGGGGCGCACCCCACCUGCUGUUCAGGCUUGGAUGCGGAUGGUCAGCGAUAACUUGCCCGGGACACGUAUCCAUCAUGUAGCAACAGUGACGGCGAUGGCACUUCAGACCCUGCUAGCGCGCCCCGCAUCUUGCUAAAUACUUUCUGGUGGUUUCCAUUUCGUCCUCACAAGGAUCUCACAGAAAGAAAACCGAGGCUCCGAGAGGUCAAAUAACCCGCUGGGCUGCCUGUAAGUGCUGGUGCCGAGUCAAGCCCGCGGGAUCCUCAAGUCCACGGUGUCAAUCCCUGUGCCUCCUCAGUGCCCCGGCUGCUUUGGCUGGCCACCAGCUCAGUGGCAGUCCGCAGCCACCCACACACCUGCCUUCCUACCUCCCCUGUGGUCGGGUAGCCCACGGAGCGCCAGGUUCUCUUUGCAGUCAGUCUGUGCCAAGUCACCCCAAGGAGAGCCCUGCGCGAAACUUCCGUGCGUGACGUUCUGCAGCCCGGGCAGUGUUUCCCCGACCUUCCAUUCACAUUGGGGUAUAUCUUGCAUUUGAAGACUGUUUUUCGGGGCGGGGGCGGGGGGGACCAUCCCAGAAAACAUGGUUCCCUCAGGGUCCAAUAUCUUCCGAUCUUUUCUUUUUUUCAGAUGUUUUUAAUGGGUGUGCUAUCAUAUCGUUUGUUAUCAUCAGAAAACGCUUGCUGUAACAAGCACUUAUCUGCACAUUAGCCGGAGUGAACACUCUGCUGAUCAAGUUAAACAGAUAAGAUCCCCACCCUUGUAGAAACUACAACUUAAUACACUCUAAGGCUUGACAAAUGACUCGUAUUUAUUUUCCAACUGCUUUAUCUCUGUAAAAUGAUGUGCUGAAUUACUAUAAUUGGUGUAGAAAGAACUGUUCCCUUAACUUAUGUAAACAGUCUGGUUUUGAAAACUUCACAGUUGUGGCUUAGCGAGUUCUCGACACACUCUGCCUUCCCUGAGACAGAGGAACCCCUGCUUGCCCUGUUCACCACUGUAUAUUCCGCUCUGGGCGCACUUUCUUUAACUCGUUUUUAAAUUUUUUGUUGUUGUUUUGAAAAAUUAAUACAUUUACACGGUAAGACAUCCAAACAAUACAAAAGAGUGAGUAUACAAUGGAAAGUAAGCUUCCUAUCGGAGGUCAGCCUUCAGUUCCCCAGCCCGCCUCCAGAACUAAUCACUGUUACCUAGAUCCUGUGUACCCUUUCUGAGCAAUUCUAUGCAUUUACAAGUUUAUAAAUAUGUAUAUUUAUAUAUCUAUUUUUAAUACAAAUGGUAGCAUUCUAUGCAGUGUUCUGAAGCUUGCUUCUUUUUUUUUUUUUUUUCCCACUUCCGCAAUGGAGAUUGUUUCAAAUUCAUCCAGUGGGUCAGUCUAAUUCUUUGAAAGCUCCUCACACGGUUCCUUGCAAACCGUAGCGGUCCCAAGAGUGUUCGAGUGAGUGAGUGAGUGAGUGCACGCACGUAUGCACGUGGGAAUGAAAGAGUCUGAUUCAACUGGUCGCUACAAAGUUGUCUCAGGGUCUACUCUGAGCAAGACAGAAUGUUCUAGAUUCUAGGAUGUGCCGUGUCAUCAGCCCUUCAACUACCCGCCCCCCUUCCCCGGCCGUGUCUUCCAAGGGAUCCAGGCCAUUCUUGACCUUUUCCAUGAACAGAUGCCACAGCAGCCUUAGGAUCCAGGUGCUGGGAACCUUGGGCCCCUCUGGAGGAAGGAGCAAACUAGGAGCCAGGUCCCAAG